This 270-nucleotide transfer RNA is filed under the name Homo sapiens (human). RNAcentral's name for it is "LHRI_LNC2020.1". The stretch from base 1 to 71 matches the Rfam family "tRNA". Lineage: Eukaryota; Metazoa; Chordata; Mammalia; Primates; Hominidae. The record is from RNAcentral.
CCCACAUGGUCUAGCGGUUAGGAUUCCUGGUUUUCACCCAGGCGGCCCGGGUUCGACUCCCGGUGUGGGAACGCCGAAAUUUUAGACUGGCGUUCAGUCGAUUUAGAUUCUUCCUAACUCGGAAAAGGCAUGUUUUUAACCAAAACUGUAAUUCCAUUUCAAAGCACGAGGGACACAUCGGGGCUGAAGGGAACCAAGGAGCUACCCCUGGGGCGGGUGUGAGGUUCAAGUGUGCUCAGACCCUAGCCACCUGCGGCAGGCGGCGGAAGG